AGAGCCUAUUGGACAUAGGAGAAACUCUGAUGUCAUUUCCUCCCCGCAUAUCUCAAGAGUUAGCUCACUGAAUGUUCACUCUUUGACUCUUCCUGAAUGAGGAUGAACCCCGGCCUCAUCACCUGGACUUUCUUUCUGCUCUGGGCUGCAGAUGUUUCUCAGUCUGUGCUGAUCACUCAGUGGCCCCAAAUCAUCUCAAAACGUCCCAACGGCUCAGCUGAGAUGCACUGUUACCAGAAUGAGACAGAUUAUCCAUAUCUGUACUGGUAUCGACAGCUAAGAGGACAAGGUUUCCAGUUAAUGGUGAUGGUAUCAGCUGGCUCUGCAACCUUUGAAGAGGAUUUCAAAUCUGGUUACCAGGCGGUGAGACAGAAGAAGGAGGAGAAGCAGUGGUCUCUGUCGAUAGAGAGCGUUCAGAGGAAAGACGAGGCGGUUUAUCUGUGUGCUGCUAGUCUACACGGUGCUGUGGCACACCUCAGACCUGUGACAAAAACAUACAGCAGGGAAGCUCUUUGUUGUUCUGACACUUGACUCACAUUGAGAGUAAUCGAAUGAAGGAAAACACAUGGAGGAGGAUAAUACCUGAGACUUAUAUUACAUAUUUUGAGCUUUAAAUUAAAGGUUAUUCAUCAACCUGGGCGGCCGGGUCUUGUUU
Molecule: non-coding RNA, 655 nt
Organism: Labrus mixtus (cuckoo wrasse)
Lineage: Eukaryota; Metazoa; Chordata; Actinopteri; Labriformes; Labridae
Source: the annotation of a RefSeq genome assembly